Molecule: ribosomal RNA, 429 nt
Filed under: Chloroflexota bacterium
Lineage: Bacteria; Bacillati; Chloroflexota
Description: Chloroflexi bacterium partial 16S ribosomal RNA
Rfam family: Bacterial small subunit ribosomal RNA
Source: RNAcentral
UGGGGAAUAUUGCACAAUGGGCGCAAGCCUGAUGCAGCCAUGCCGCGUGUAUGAAGAAGGCCUUCGGGUUGUAAAGUACUUUCAGUCGGGAGGAAGGUGGUAAGGUUAAUAACCUUAUCAAUUGACGUUACCGACAGAAGAAGCACCGGCUAACUCCGUGCCAGCAGCCGCGGUAAUACGGAGGGUGCAAGCGUUAAUCGGAAUUACUGGGCGUAAAGCGCACGCAGGCGGUUGAUUGAGUCAGAUGUGAAAUCCCCGGGCUUAACCCGGGAAUUGCAUCUGAUACUGGUCAGCUAGAGUCUUGUAGAGGGGGGUGGAAUUCCAUGUGUAGCGGUGAAAUGCGUAGAGAUGUGGAGGAAUACCGGUGGCGAAGGCGGCCCCCUGGACAAAGACUGACGCUCAGGUGCGAAAGCGUGGGGAGCAAACAGG